UCCACCUUUUAGGACUUCACGACAAUCGAAUACCUUCCACACACUGGAUAUUCGUUGUUGAUGAAGUCUUAAUGGGUGUC
Molecule: non-coding RNA, 80 nt
Organism: Caenorhabditis remanei
Lineage: Eukaryota; Metazoa; Nematoda; Chromadorea; Rhabditida; Rhabditidae
Source: Rfam